RNAcentral lists this ribosomal RNA (194 nucleotides) under uncultured bacterium. RNAcentral describes it as "partial 16S ribosomal RNA". It matches the Rfam family "Bacterial small subunit ribosomal RNA", at positions 338 to 524 of the family's 1533-position model. The record is from RNAcentral.
CCUACGGGAGGCAGCAGUGGGGAAUUUUGGACAAUGGGCGCAAGCCUGAUCCAGCAAUGCCGCGUGCAGGAAGAAGGCCUUCGGGUUGUAAACUGCUUUUGUACGGAGCGAAAAAGCUCCCUUUAAUACGGGGGGCUGAUGACGGUACCGUAAGAAUAAGCACCGGCUAACUACGUGCCAGCAGCCGCGGUAAU